RNAcentral lists this unclassified non-coding RNA (158 nucleotides) under uncultured Ascomycota. Its description in RNAcentral is "sequence contains ITS2". The record is from RNAcentral. Lineage: Eukaryota; Fungi; Ascomycota.
UCACCCAUCAAGCUCUGCUUGUCAUUGGAUUUUGCUACUGAAAUAUGUCGCAAGUCUGAAAAUUAAUGACGUGUCAUGUUUGACCCUUAGAUGCAACGAGCUUUUUUAAGCACGCAUUGAUGUGGUCGACGGACCCCGUCUUUAAUCAUUGUUUCUCA